UCCGGCAUGGUGUAGCGGUUAACAUUCGGGAUUCUCAUUCCCGAGCCCGGGGUUCGACUCCCCGUGCCGGAA
This is a non-coding RNA of Hypoxylon fuscum, 72 nucleotides long. The record is from the annotation of a GenBank genome assembly. NCBI's taxonomy places the organism in Eukaryota, Fungi, Ascomycota, Sordariomycetes, Xylariales, Hypoxylaceae.